GCCGAACUAGCUCAUUGGUAGAGCGAGGGCCUGAAGAGCCUUGCGUACCCAGUUCGAUUCUGGGGUUCGGCACCA
This 75-nucleotide transfer RNA is filed under the name Patescibacteria group bacterium. Its description in RNAcentral is "tRNA-Phe". It matches the Rfam family "tRNA". Rfam says of the family: Transfer RNA (tRNA) molecules are approximately 80 nucleotides in length. Their secondary structure includes four short double-helical elements and three loops (D, anti-codon, and T loops). The record is from RNAcentral.